Molecule: ribosomal RNA, 495 nt
Filed under: uncultured bacterium
Lineage: Bacteria
Description: partial 16S ribosomal RNA
Rfam family: Bacterial small subunit ribosomal RNA
Source: RNAcentral
GAUGAACGCUGGCGGCGUGCCUAAUACAUGCAAGUAGAACGCUGAAGGAGGAGCUUGCUCUUCUGGAUGAGUUGCGAACGGGUGAGUAACGCGUAGGUAACCUGCCUGGUAGCGGGGGAUAACUAUUGGAAACGAUAGCUAAUACCGCAUGACAACAGUUAUUGCAUGAUAACUGUUUAAAAGGGGCAACUGCUCCACUACCAGAUGGACCUGCGUUGUAUUAGCUAGUUGGUGAGGUAACGGCUCACCAAGGCGACGAUACAUAGCCGACCUGAGAGGGUGAUCGGCCACACUGGGAGUGAGGCACGGCACAGACUCCUACGGGAGGCAGCAGUAGGGAAGCGUCGGCAAUGGACGGAAGUCUGACCGAGCAACGCCGCGUGAGUGAAGAAGGUUGUCGGAUCGUAAAGCUCUGUUGUAAGAGAAGAAAGAGUGUGAGAGUGGAAAGUUCACACUGUGACGGUAUCUUACCAGAAAGGGACGGCUAACUACGUG